UCAACAAAUAUUUUAUUAAAAUAUUAAUUUUGGGGAUUAAUGAUGUGAUUAUUUUCACUUUGUUGAA
This 67-nucleotide transfer RNA is filed under the name Drabescoides nuchalis. RNAcentral describes it as "tRNA-Pro". The record is from RNAcentral. Lineage: Eukaryota; Metazoa; Arthropoda; Insecta; Hemiptera; Cicadellidae.